Molecule: non-coding RNA, 81 nt
Filed under: Licmophora paradoxa
Lineage: Eukaryota; Bacillariophyta; Fragilariophyceae; Licmophorales; Licmophoraceae
Source: RNAcentral
GAGAGAGAAGAAGAAAGAAAAAAAAGGAUAUUGUUUUGUACUGUUACUUAUGGUUGGCUUUUUUUGUUUUCUUUUCUUUCU